AUGCACGCUGGCGGCGUGCCUAAUACAUGCAAGUCGAGCGAACAGACGAGGAGCUUGCUCCUCUGACGUUAGCGGCGGACGGGUGAGUAACACGUGGAUAACCUACCUAUAAGACUGGGAUAACUUCGGGAAACCGGAGCUAAUACCGGAUAAUAUAUUGAACCGCAUGGUUCAAUAGUGAAAGACGGUUUUGCUGUCACUUAUAGAUGGAUCCGCGCCGCAUUAGCUAGUUGGUAAGGUAACGGCUUACCAAGGCAACGAUGCGUAGCCGACCUGAGAGGGUGAUCGGCCACACUGGAACUGAGACACGGUCCAGACUCCUACGGGAGGCAGCAGUAGGGAAUCUUCCGCAAUGGGCGAAAGCCUGACGGAGCAACGCCGCGUGAGUGAUGAAGGUCUUCGGAUCGUAAAACUCUGUUAUUAGGGAAGAACAAAUGUGUAAGUAACUAUGCACGUCUUGACGGUACCUGAUCAGAAAGCCACGGCUAACUACGUG
Molecule: ribosomal RNA, 496 nt
Filed under: uncultured bacterium
Lineage: Bacteria
Description: partial 16S ribosomal RNA
Rfam family: Bacterial small subunit ribosomal RNA
Source: RNAcentral